CAGCAGCCUUGUGACAUAGUCCCUUGCAUAUGUCUGUUGCUAGUGGAACACAACAAGGUUGCAAACAGCAACUCAAAGAGUAAAAAGGCGUGACUUCUGGAGGCUCAGAAGCAUCACGUGCGAUGUUCUUUGCACAAAACUCCUGCUUCCCACGGCGGUGAUUGCUAUUCUGUGCACAUCACCUUUCUUGAGGCAGGUAGAGAAAAAAACAUUGGCAGCCAGAUAUUGUCAAAAUCAGGUGAAGCACUACCUGUUUGACACUACUGGUUGUCACAGAU
Molecule: non-coding RNA, 278 nt
Organism: Nerophis lumbriciformis (worm pipefish)
Lineage: Eukaryota; Metazoa; Chordata; Actinopteri; Syngnathiformes; Syngnathidae
Source: RefSeq, a predicted model, not a curated record